This 467-nucleotide long non-coding RNA is filed under the name Nicotiana benthamiana. RNAcentral describes it as "long non-coding RNA (NBEN_LNC003362)". Lineage: Eukaryota; Viridiplantae; Streptophyta; Magnoliopsida; Solanales; Solanaceae. The record is from RNAcentral.
AGGAAACCUGUUAAUGAGGUAGGUUGCAGUAAGCAUCACCCCAGAAUCUAAUAGGUAGCUGUGAAUGGAAAAGUAGAGCCCUUGAGGUUUCUAGCAGAUAUCUAUGCUUUCUCUCAACUACACCACUUUGUUGUGGUGUGUGAGAGCAGGAAGUUUAGCUGUGAAUGGAAAAGUAGAGCCCUGGAGGUUUUUAGCAGAUAUCUAUGCUUUCUCUCAACUACACCAUUUUGUUGUGGUGUGUGAGAGCAGGAAGUUUGAUUCAGUAUGCCAUUUUCAGCAAAGAAAUUGCUGCCACAGCUACUAGAGCCAAGUUCAAAGGCAUUAUCACUCCUAAUGGUUUAUACCACAGACUGGAAUUGAGUUUUAAUCAUGGAAAUGAAGGCCUUGAUAAGGGGAAAAGCAUUGCUCUUGGACCUUAUAAGGUGGGUCCAAGUAGCUCUGGUAAAAUCAUCAACAAUUGUGAGAAA